UGAAUCCGGUAAUCAAUGGCCAUACUCGUGUUGCCUUGUAACACACGACGGAAGGAGGAUCGGGAGGCCGGGACAGAGAUGGAUCUCUGGCAAAAGACGGCCAGUAGAAUUUGAACACGUGUCAAAUUGAGCGCCGGGGGAAGGGUUAACACGUGCAAGUCGAACGAUGACUCUCUAGGUUGCUAGAGAUGAUUAGUGGCGGACGGGUGAGUAACAUUUAGGAAUCUACCUAGUAGUGGGGGAUAGCUCGGGGAAACUCGAAUUAAUACCGCAUACGACCUACGGGUGAAAGGGGGCGCAAGCUCUUGCUAUUAGAUGAGCCUAAAUCAGAUUAGCUAGUUGGUGGGGUAAAGGCCCACCAAGGCGACGAUCCGUAACUGGUCUGAGAGGAUGAUCAGUCACACUGGAACUGAGACACGGUCCAGACUCCUACGGGAGGCAGC
This 443-nucleotide ribosomal RNA is filed under the name uncultured bacterium. Its description in RNAcentral is "bacterial SSU rRNA". The stretch from base 99 to 443 matches the Rfam family "Bacterial small subunit ribosomal RNA", at positions 1 to 352 of the family's 1533-position model. The record is from RNAcentral.